UACGUAGGUGGCAAGCGUUGUCCGGAUUUACUGGGCGUAAAGAGCGCGCAGGCGGUCGUUCAAGUCGCGUGUGAAAGCCCCCGGCUCAACUGGGGAGGGUCACGCGAUACUGAUCGACUCGAAGGCAGGAGAGGGUAGUGGAAUUCCCGGUGUAGUGGUGAAAUGCGUAGAUAUCGGGAGGAACACCAGUGACGAAGGCGACUACCUGGCCUGUUCUUGACGCUGAGGCGCGAAAGCUAGGGGAGCAAACGGG
RNAcentral lists this ribosomal RNA (253 nucleotides) under uncultured bacterium. RNAcentral's name for it is "partial 16S ribosomal RNA". It matches the Rfam family "Bacterial small subunit ribosomal RNA", at positions 524 to 776 of the family's 1533-position model. The record is from RNAcentral.